Molecule: long non-coding RNA, 996 nt
Filed under: Ananas comosus (pineapple)
Lineage: Eukaryota; Viridiplantae; Streptophyta; Magnoliopsida; Poales; Bromeliaceae
Description: long non-coding RNA (ACOM_LNC022471)
Source: RNAcentral
CAUAUUUAACCUAUACAUUAGAAACAAAAACAUUUUUUUUUUCAUAUAUCGAUUAAUUACUAGAAGAACUUAAUAUUGUAAUAAGUUUAAAGCUACUAUACUUUCGAAAGCAUAACACAGUUUGCGCUUUUAAUUUUUUGGCCCUUGCAUUAAGAACUGUAGGGUUGGGAUGAUAAUAGUUUUUUAGAGUUGAAUGCUCCUCCUAGAAUUUAGUGGUUUCGCUAGAAAAGUAAUAUUAAUUCAAGGAUUAGAAAUGAUCAAGGAGUUAAUCCAAAGAUUAAAAACUAGAAAUCGUCGACUCCUUUAUGCUUUUGGAAGCAUCAUAUAUAGUCGGAUUCUUGUAAUAAUAUAUUUUUCAAAUCUUGUGAUAAUUUAUAUAUAGACUCUUCAGAUGAUGUAAGAUGACAUCUAUCGUACUGAUUUUUUACGUGAGGUACGUGCAUGCAACAAUUUCUCGAAUCAAAGAUACAAUUGGAUUUCGCCUUGAUGCUAACCACCUUAGAUUUCACCACUUUUAUUAAAAUAAUAAUAAGUGCUUUAUUAUUUAGAAUACAUUUGGAGUAGGGAUGUCAAUGGGUAUGAAUAUCCGAAAUAUUAUCCGAACCCAAAGCCGAAUGGGGCGGGUUUACCUGAGCUAAACGGGUAUGGAUUUGGUUAUGGGUAUAGAAAAUAAAAACCCGACGGAUAUUGAUAUGGGUAUGGAUUUUGUAUUUACCCAACCCGAAUCCGAACCCGAACCCAAACCCGAAUAAAUUAUAUAUAUACAUACUUUAUUUUUAUUUAUUUAUAUAAUAUAUAAAAUAUUUAAUAAUUUUUAUCCUUUAGAUCUUCAUUUAACGGUAUGGAUUUUUAAAACCGGCCGGGUCCGGGUCCGGAUUCGGGUUUCGGGUUUUUGGUCGGGUACGGAUAUGGGUAUAGAUUUUUAAAACCCGCCGGGUUUGGGUCUGGGUACGGAUUUUAAUUUGGUUUUCGGGUUCGGGUUCGGAUUUUUAAAAA